This 327-nucleotide ribosomal RNA is filed under the name uncultured Actinomycetales bacterium. Its description in RNAcentral is "bacterial SSU rRNA". It matches the Rfam family "Bacterial small subunit ribosomal RNA", at positions 21 to 353 of the family's 1533-position model. The record is from RNAcentral. Lineage: Bacteria; Bacillati; Actinomycetota; Actinomycetes; Actinomycetales.
GGCUCAGAACGAACGCUGGCGGCGUGCUUAACACAUGCAAGUCGAGCGGAAAGGCCCUUCGGGGUACUCGAGCGGCGAACGGGUGAGUAACACGUGAGUAAUCUGCCCCUAGCUCUGGGAUAGCUCCGGGAAACCGGGAUUAAUACCGGAUAUGACCACUACAGACAUCUGUUUUGGUGGAAAGAAUUUCGGCUAGGGAUGAGCUCGCGGCCUAUCAGCUUGUUGGUGGGGUAACGGCCUACCAAGGCGACGACGGGUAGCCGGCCUGAGAGGGCGACCGGCCACACUGGGACUGAGACACGGCCCAGAGACCUACGGGAGGCAGCA